CGCGGUAUUUUGACCGUGCGAAGGUANCAUAAUCAUUANUCUUUUAAUUGAAGGCUUGUAUGAAGGGUUAGACGAGAAAUCAGCUGUCUUUAUUGAAAAGAUGGAAUUUAACUUUUAAGUGAGAGGGCUUAAAUAUUCUAAAGGGACGAUAGACCCUAUAAAGUUUGAUAUUUAUUUUUUAAAAAAUAAGAUAAAUAGUAAAGUUAGUUAGAAAAAAGAUGUUUUGUGGGGCGACAAGAAUAUAAUAUAUACUGUUUUAUAUUCAUACACGAUAAUUGAAUUUAUGAACCUUUGUAAGGUAAUAGAGUAAAUUACUUUAGGGAUAACAGCGUAAUUUUUUUUGAGAGUUCUUAUCGACAANAAAGUUUGCGACCUCGAUGUUGAAUUAAAGUUCUUUGUAAGUAGCAGUUACACGAGAAGUCUGUUCGACCUUUAAUCUUUACAUGAUUUGA
RNAcentral lists this ribosomal RNA (452 nucleotides) under Gramastacus insolitus. RNAcentral's name for it is "partial 16S ribosomal RNA". It matches the Rfam family "Archaeal large subunit ribosomal RNA", at positions 2009 to 2677 of the family's 2987-position model. Lineage: Eukaryota; Metazoa; Arthropoda; Malacostraca; Decapoda; Parastacidae. The record is from RNAcentral.